CCUACGGGAGGCAGCAGUGGGGAAUAUUGCACAAUGGGGGAAACCCUGAUGCAGCGACGUCGCGUGAGGGAAGAAGAAUUUCGGUACGUAAAGCUCUAUCAGCAGGGAAGAAAAGGGCGGUACCUGACUAAGAAGCCCCGGCUAACGACGUGACAGCAGCCGCGGUAAUACGUAGGGGGCAAGCGUUAUCCGGAUUUACUGGGUGUAAAGGGAGCGUAGACGGCAGCGCAAGUCUGGAGUGAAAUCCCAUGGCUUACCCCUGGAACUGCUUUGGAAACGGUGCAGCGGGAGUGCAGGAGAGGUAAGCGGCAUUCCUCGUGUAGCGGUUACAUGCGUAGAUAUUAGGCGGACCCCCAGUGGCGCAGGCGGCUUCCUGGACUGUACCUGACGUUGCGGCUCGAACGCGUGGGGAGCAAACCGGAUUAGAUACCCGAGUAGUC
This 440-nucleotide ribosomal RNA is filed under the name uncultured bacterium. Its description in RNAcentral is "partial 16S ribosomal RNA". It matches the Rfam family "Bacterial small subunit ribosomal RNA", at positions 338 to 795 of the family's 1533-position model. The record is from RNAcentral.